CCUUACCCUACCAAACAUGGGUUUCAAGUACUAUUUAAGCUAGUCCAGUACAGCAAGGCCUGCCAAACACAGCCUAAUAUCCUUAUUUUGAAACCCAAUUACAAAUGCUCCUUAUAAAAAUUCCAUAUUGAUAGCCUAUUGCUCAUCUUUCACUUUUGUUUAGUCGUUCUAAGCUCUCUCAAAUCCUCUUUCACAAUUUCUCUAUCUCACUCACUCAGCCCUCCUCUCCUCUCUUCUCUCUCUCUCUCGCUCGCACCCACUUCGGCGAUGGUCACUGUCACCUCCUCAGAAACCCUAACCCACAUCAGCGAUGACGACCUCACCCUUUCCACCUCCAUUCUCAUUCUUUGUCACCUCUUUCGACCUCCAUGCUUAGAGAUGGCGUCUCAGUCCUCAAGGUUGGUAUAUGCCAAGGUUGUGUUGGUGUCGUGAAAAGAGUUCUUGGAAAACUUGAAGAUGGAAGAUUGUCUUGUUUCAAGUGGCAGCGUUCUCUUGGGGAGGAAAUUGCUAACUUUUACCUUAAAUUCAGUUUUAAGAGGAGAUGUCAUCGAAUUUUGCUAAUGUGUUAAAAUUCCCGGCCAAGAGGAGAUGUAAAUUUUUUAUUUUUUGCCACUUUCUUAUUCAUAUCUUAUGAAAGUCUUCAACU
This is a non-coding RNA of Prunus avium (sweet cherry), 646 nucleotides long. The record is from RefSeq and is a predicted model, not a curated record. NCBI's taxonomy places the organism in Eukaryota, Viridiplantae, Streptophyta, Magnoliopsida, Rosales, Rosaceae.